CCCUUAGAUGUUCUGGGCCGCACGCGCGCUACACUGAUGCAUUCAACGAGUUUUUCCUGGUCCGAGAGGAAUGGGUAACCUUUUGAAAGUGCAUCGUGCUAGGGAUAGACUAUUGCAAUUAUUGGUCUUCAACGAGGAAUUCCUAGUAGACGCAGUUCAUCAGACUGCAUCGAUUACGUCCCUGCCCUUUGUACACACCGCCCGUCGCUCCUACCGAUUGGAUGAUCCGGUGAGCUAUUCGGACUUUCAUCAUGCUGGUUUCCAGUUUUGAUGAAGGAAAGUCUUGCGAACCUUAUCAUUUAGAGGAAGGAGAAGUCGUAACA
Molecule: ribosomal RNA, 323 nt
Filed under: uncultured eukaryote
Lineage: Eukaryota
Description: partial 18S ribosomal RNA
Rfam family: Eukaryotic small subunit ribosomal RNA
Source: RNAcentral